Molecule: ribosomal RNA, 407 nt
Filed under: uncultured bacterium
Lineage: Bacteria
Description: bacterial SSU rRNA
Rfam family: Bacterial small subunit ribosomal RNA
Source: RNAcentral
AGUGAACGCUGGCGGCAGGCCUAAUACAUGCAAGUCGAACGGCAGCACAGCAGAGCUUGUUCUGUGGGUGGCGAGUGGCGGACGGGUGAGGAAUACGUGGGAAUCUGCCCAGUCGUGGGGGAUAACGUAGGGAAACUUACGCUAAUACCGCAUGCGCCCUUCGGGGAAAGCCGGGGACCUUCGGGCCUGGCGCGAUUGGAUGAGCCCACGUCGGAUUAGCUAGUUGGCGGGUAAAGGCCCACCAAGGCGACGAUCCGUAGCUGGUCUGAGAGGAUGAUCAGCCACACUGGAACUGAGACACGGUCCAGACUCCUACGGGAGGCAGCAGUAGGGAAUAUUGGACAAUAGGCGCAAGCCUGAUCCAGCCAUGCCGCGUGAGUGAAGAAGGCCCUCGGGUUGUAAAGCUC